Molecule: ribosomal RNA, 764 nt
Filed under: Bacillus sp. CSu2_14
Lineage: Bacteria; Bacillati; Bacillota; Bacilli; Caryophanales; Bacillaceae
Description: bacterial SSU rRNA
Rfam family: Bacterial small subunit ribosomal RNA
Source: RNAcentral
GCAAGUCGAGCGGACAGACGGGAGCUUGCUCCCUGAUGUUAGCGGCGGACGGGUGAGUAACACGUGGGUAACCUGCCUGUAAGACUGGGAUAACUCCGGGAAACCGGGGCUAAUACCGGAUGCUUGUUUGAACCGCAUGGUUCAAACAUAAAAGGUGGCUUCGGCUACCACUUACAGAUGGACCCGCGGCGCAUUAGCUAGUUGGUGAGGUAACGGCUCACCAAGGCAACGAUGCGUAGCCGACCUGAGAGGGUGAUCGGCCACACUGGGACUGAGACACGGCCCAGACUCCUACGGGAGGCAGCAGUAGGGAAUCUUCCGCAAUGGACGAAAGUCUGACGGAGCAACGCCGCGUGAGUGAUGAAGGUUUUCGGAUCGUAAAGCUCUGUUGUUAGGGAAGAACAAGUACCGUUCGAAUAGGGCGGUACCUUGACGGUACCUAACCAGAAAGCCACGGCUAACUACGUGCCAGCAGCCGCGGUAAUACGUAGGUGGCAAGCGUUGUCCGGAAUUAUUGGGCGUAAAGGGCUCGCAGGCGGUUUCUUAAGUCUGAUGUGAAAGCCCCCGGCUCAACCGGGGAGGGUCAUUGGAAACUGGGGAACUUGAGUGCAGAAGAGGAGAGUGGAAUUCCACGUGUAGCGGUGAAAUGCGUAGAGAUGUGGAGGAACACCAGUGGCGAAGGCGACUCUCUGGUCUGUAACUGACGCUGAGGAGCGAAAGCGUGGGGAGCGAACAGGAUUAGAUACCCUGGUAGUCCACGCCGU